UCCACUUCUGGAUUGCUUGAACCAAUGCCAUCAGCUCCCUCUCAUACACAAAUUUUUGUUGAGCCCUCAAGGACAGACCUUGACUCCAAAAAGCUAGUGGCCUUCCCUCCUGCAUCAAGACUGCCCCUAACCCCUUGCUAGAUGCAUCUGUUUCUAUUACAAACUCCUUAUCAAAGUCAGGAACAACUAGUAAGGGUAGGGUGGCCAUAGCCUUCUUUAACUCUUCAAAGACAGUAGUAGCUUCAAGAGUCCAAUUGAUGAGUCCUUUUUUAGCAAAUCAGUCAGGGGUUUAGCAAUCUUCCCAUAGUUUUGGACAAAUUUUCUAUAAUAUCCAGUGAGGCCUAAGAACCCUCUUAAGCUCUUGAUGUUGGUAGGUAUAGGAGGUGCUAAAUUUGAGUUGAGUAUCAGCCACCCUGAAUAUUUCUUUCCAGAAUUGAUUGAGGAACACAGAGUCUCUGUCAGAAAUUAUAAUAGUAGGGAAACCAUGUAGCUUAACCACCUCCUUCAGAAACAGGGUAGCUACAUCCUUGGUUGAGUAGGGAUAACCCAGAGCAAACAUAUGAGCAUGCUUGGAUAACCUAUCCACCACCACAAAAACAGUAUCCUUGCCCCUGACCUUAGGUAGUCCUCCAAUGAAGUCCAUAGAGACAUCCACCCAUACUUAUUGAGGUAUGGGAAUAGGUUGUAAUAACCCAACAGGGGCCAAUGUAGAAUAUUUGCUUAUUUGACACACCUCACAAUUCUCCACAAACCUUUUAAUGUCUGACUUCAUCCCCUCCCAAAACAAGAAGUUAGAAAUCCUUUUGUAUGUUCUGAAAUGGCCAGAAUGGCCUCCCAUAGGAGUCUCAUGGCACUCAACCAUAAUGAUAGGAAUUUUGUUGGAUGACUUAGACAAGACCAGCCUCCCCUUAUAGUAGAGAAUCCUUUUCUUCAAUUCAAAAUCAAGGUGUGAAUUAGGGGAUACAGUCAAUUCCUGAAGGACCCUCUUCCAUUUAGAAUCCUGUUGUAACUCUUUAUUACAUAGGUCUACCUCUUCACUAUUGAUAAUGGAGAUGGCAGAGUACAUAAGUUUUCUAGAGAGGGCAUCAGCCACAGAGUUUUCACUCCCUGGUUUGUAUUGAAUUUCAAAAUCUAAUCCCACCAACUUAACUGCCCAUUUGAAUUGCUCAUCAUAAAAAAGCCUCUAUUCAGUUAAAAACUUGAGACUCUUUUGAUAUGUUUUUAUGAUGAAAUGUCUUCCUACCACAUAAUGCCUCCACUUCUGGAUUGCUUGAACCAAUGCCAUCAGCUCCCUCUCAUACACAAAUUUUUGUUGAGCCCUCAAGGACAGACCUUGACUCCAAAAAGCUAGUGGCCUUCCCUCCUGCAUCAAGACUGCCCCUAACCCCUUGCUAGAUGCAUCUGUUUCUAUUACAAACUCCUUAUCAAAGUCAGGAACAACUAGUAAGGGUAGGGUGGCCAUAGCCUUCUUUAACUCUUCAAAGACAGUAGUAGCUUCAAGAGUCCAAUUGAUGAGUCCUUUUUUAGCAAAUCAGUCAGGGGUUUAGCAAUCUUCCCAUAGUUUUGGACAAAUUUUCUAUAAUAUCCAGUGAGGCCUAAGAACCCUCUUAAGCUCUUGAUGUUGGUAGGUUGAGGCCAAGUCAUCAUAUCCUCCACCUUAGAUAAGUCAGCAAAUGCCCCCUGCUCAGAAAUGAUGUGGCAUGGGUACUCAAUGCUAUUCUGGCCAAAACUGCAUUUCUUCUGGUUAGCUUUCAAAGAAUGUCCUGCUAGUAGUGCCAAAACAAUUUGCAAAUGUUGGCUAUGAGUCUUCAAAUCCGAACUAUAUACUAGGAUGUCAUCAAAGAACACCAGAGUAAACUUCCUCAAAUAAGGCCUCAAGAUCUCAUUCAUCAGUGAUUGAAAGGUAGAGGGGGCAUUGGUCAGCCCAAAUGGCAUGACCAAGAACUCAUAGUAUCCCUCAUGAGUUCUAAAGGUUGUCUUCUCAACAUCUUCCUCCUUCAUCCUUAUCUGAUGAUAGCCUGAUUUAAGGUCUAGCUUAGAGAACACCUUUGCACCCCUAGUUCAUCAAGUAGUUCCUCAACCAAUGGAAUUGGAAACUUAUUUGGCACAGUAAUUUUGUUAAGUACCCUAUAGUCUACACAAAACCUCCAUCUCCCAUCCUUUUUCUUUACUAGAAUAACAGGGCUAGAGUAGGGGCUGAUGCUAGGUCUAAUUACCCCUGCAGCCACCAAUCUUUCAAUUCCAGCCUUUUGAUAAGUGGACACCUGUAAGGUCUGAUAUUAGGUACCUCAGUUCCUUCCUUCAAAUGAAUGGCAUGGUCAUGCCUUCUUAAGGGUGGGAGCCCUUGAGGAUCCUGAAAAACAUCUUGAUACUGGAGUAGCACCUGUUGCAAUUCUAUUGGCACAACCUCCUUAGUCUAGGAAUGCUGAUGAGUAUUACACUGGAUCAUUAUGCCCUCCCCUUCCUCCAUAAGGACCUGCAUGAGGGCCCUCAAGGACAAUUCUGUCCUGAUCAAGGUGAGAUCUCCCAUCAAAGUAAAGGUGGACCCUGCCUUAUUGAUGUUUAGAACCAUCUUCCCAAAGUCAGCACUGACCUCACCCAACCCUACUAGCCAUUCAGUACCUAACACCAGAUCCACUCCCUUCAACCCAAAUAGGUAAAAAUCCUGAAUCACCUCCAACCCUUGUAGAAUCAGUUUGAGUUGUGAACACCUCCCAUGACAUUUCACCUUGUGUCCAUACCCAAACUCCACCAUAUAGGCUUUAGUCUCUUGCACUUUCAGCUUCAUACUCUCUACUACUUCCUUGGCUAUGAAAUUAUGUGAGGCUCCACAAUCAAUCAUCGCCACCACUGAUCUACUACCCAGAGUCCCCUUAAUCUUCAAAGACUUAGUGGAAGUGAACCCUUUCAUUGAGUAAAUGGAUAGUUGUAGGGAAUUGAGGACAUCCUGCUCUUGCCCCACCUUUAAUUUCCCAUUUGACUCCUCCCCCUCACUAAGAAUAAGCAUCCUUAGUUGUUUAUUCUUACAAAUGUGAUCCCUAGUGAAGGGUUCAUCACACCUGAAGCAAAGUCCCUUUUUUCUUUUCUCCUUCAUCUCAACACUGGUAAGCCUCCUAUACUCCUCUCUGUUCCUGGAACUAUCAACUUCUUGAACAGUUCUAGCACUACCAACUACACUACUAACUGAUGAUGACCCCUCUCCUGUUACUACCAGUAGUAGAUGGAUCCAAUGAUACCACCCUAUUGUAAGUUGGGUUCUUGUAUGGAGUCUCAGAUUUAGCAUAACCCCCACUAGGCCUCCUAUUCAUUACUGUAUUUUUCUAUUCAAUGAGUAUGGCUUUUUGUAUCACUUCAGGUAAAGUUCCCAACUCAUACAACCUUACCUCUCCCCUCACCUCCUCUUUCAACCCAUUUAGGAAGAUCCCUCUUACAAAAUCUUGAUUGAUUUCUUGCAAAGCCCCUGCAUACUUCUCAAAUUCUUCUACGUAUGCUUCCACACUACCCUAUUGUUUUAAGGACAACAACAAUUCAAAGGGGGUUUGUAUCAUAGAGGGUUGAAAACGUCUUACCACUACUAUCUCGAAGCUACUCCACGUGGAUGAGGGGUUGCAUCAUUCCCACCAUUGGAACCAGCUAAGAGCCUUUCCAUCAAGGGCAACCAUAGUUGCUUGCAUCCUCUCCUCCUCUGUGAUGGCUCACAUCGCAAAAUAUCUCUCCAAUUUCUGCACCCAACCAUGAGCAUCAUCACCGUUGAAAAUUGGAAUCUCAAGUCUCCUCCACUUAUCGUGACUUGAAGGUAGUUUGUGGCUUUCUACCUCUUCCUCGUUUUCGCUACUCCUCUCUGUGGAUUAAUUACCACUUGAAAUCCCUAGUUUCGAGGCUAUAGCUUCUAGCAAAUCUUCUGUUUUCUUCAUGCGUGCCUCAUUGAGCUCCACUCGCAUUUGAAGC
RNAcentral lists this long non-coding RNA (3948 nucleotides) under Lupinus angustifolius (narrow-leaved blue lupine). RNAcentral describes it as "long non-coding RNA (LANG_LNC002247)". The record is from RNAcentral. Lineage: Eukaryota; Viridiplantae; Streptophyta; Magnoliopsida; Fabales; Fabaceae.